RNAcentral lists this ribosomal RNA (252 nucleotides) under uncultured bacterium. Its description in RNAcentral is "partial 16S ribosomal RNA". It matches the Rfam family "Bacterial small subunit ribosomal RNA", at positions 524 to 776 of the family's 1533-position model. The record is from RNAcentral.
UACGGAGGAUGCGAGCGUUAUCCGGAUUUAUUGGGUUUAAAGGGUGCGUAGGCGGCCUGCCAAGUCAGCGGUAAAAUUGCGGGGCUCAACCCCGUACAGCCGUUGAAACUGCCGGGCUCGAGUGGGCGAGGAGUAUGCGGAAUGCGUGGUGUAGCGGUGAAAUGCAUAGAUAUCACGCAGAACCCCGAUUGCGAAGGCAGCAUACCGGCGCCCUACUGACGCUGAGGCACGAAAGUGCGGGGAUCAAACAGG